RNAcentral lists this ribosomal RNA (468 nucleotides) under uncultured bacterium. RNAcentral's name for it is "partial 16S ribosomal RNA". It matches the Rfam family "Bacterial small subunit ribosomal RNA", at positions 28 to 507 of the family's 1533-position model. The record is from RNAcentral.
GACGAACGCUGGCGGCGUGCUUAACACAUGCAAGUCGAACGGAAAGGCCCUGCUUUUGUGGGGUGCUCGAGUGGCGAACGGGUGAGUAACACGUGAGUAACCUGCCCUUGACUUUGGGAUAACUUCAGGAAACUGGGGCUAAUACCGGAUAGGAGCUCCUGCUGCAUGGUGGGGGUUGGAAAGUUUCGGCGGUUGGGGAUGGACUCGCGGCUUAUCAGCUUGUUGGUGGGGUAGUGGCUUACCAAGGCUUUGACGGGUAGCCGGCCUGGGAGGGUGACCGGCCACAUUGGGAUUGAGAUACGGCCCAGACCACUACGGGAGGGGGCAGGGGGGAAUAUUGCACAGUGGGCGGAAGCAUAAUGCAGCAAAGCCGCGUGGGGGAUGACGGCAUUCGGGUAGUAAACCGAUUUCGCCUGUGACGAGGCGUGAGUGACGGUAAUGGGUAAAGAAGCACCGGCUAACUACGUG